Molecule: ribosomal RNA, 305 nt
Filed under: uncultured bacterium
Lineage: Bacteria
Description: partial 16S ribosomal RNA
Rfam family: Bacterial small subunit ribosomal RNA
Source: RNAcentral
ACAGCAGUCGCCACGGUAAUACGUAGGGUGCAAGCGUUAAUCGGAAUUACUGGGCGUAAAGCGUGCGCAGGCGGUUUUGUAAGACAGAGGUGAAAUCCCCGGGCUCAACCUGGGAACUGCCUUUGUGACUGCAAGGCUAGAGUACGGCAGAGGGGGAUGGAAUUCCGCGUGUAGCAGUGAAAUGCGUAGAUAUGCGGAGGAACACCGAUGGCGAAGGCAAUCCCCUGGGCCUGUACUGACGCUCAUGCACGAAAGCGUGGGGAGCAAACAGGAUUAGAUACCCCGGUAGUCCCUGUCUCUUAUAA